AUGUACCCCCGCACACUCCGGUUCCUCCGCGCCGUCCGCAUCCACCUGACGACUUCUCGCUACGUUUUGUUAGCC
Molecule: small RNA, 75 nt
Filed under: Xanthomonas campestris
Lineage: Bacteria; Pseudomonadati; Pseudomonadota; Gammaproteobacteria; Lysobacterales; Lysobacteraceae
Description: sX9 sRNA
Rfam family: Xanthomonas sRNA sX9
Source: RNAcentral